UAGGGAAUCUUCCACAAUGGACGCAAGUCUGAUGGAGCAACGCCGCGUGAGUGAAGAAGGUCUUCGGAUCGUAAAACUCUGUUGUUAGAGAAGAACGUGUGUGAGAGUGGAAAGUUCACACAGUGACGGUAACUUACCAGAAAGGGACGGCUAACUACGUGCUAG
RNAcentral lists this ribosomal RNA (165 nucleotides) under uncultured bacterium. RNAcentral describes it as "partial 16S rRNA". It matches the Rfam family "Bacterial small subunit ribosomal RNA", at positions 355 to 511 of the family's 1533-position model. The record is from RNAcentral.